CUGCCAUCUACAACAAGAUAACCCUUAGCAACUUGUAAUGCUGUAGUUGUAGAUCAAUCAAACAAAGUUACAAAUUCAAACAACAACAAUUGCUUACUAAAAACAAAUCACUGUCAUUUUAAGCCAGGUUCAUAAAGCCAUCUUUUAUUGCUACAAACACUUUAUCUGACAUCAUUGAGAAAUGGCAAACUUGUGAUUCAAAUAUGGACAACUUUGUGUAAAGCUUAAGCACGAUGGAUAUCAGACAUUUUA
This is a long non-coding RNA of Xenia sp. Carnegie-2017, 252 nucleotides long. RefSeq lists it as uncharacterized. The record is from RefSeq and is a predicted model, not a curated record. The transcript has 4 exons. Lineage: Eukaryota; Metazoa; Cnidaria; Anthozoa; Malacalcyonacea; Xeniidae.